This 233-nucleotide ribosomal RNA is filed under the name uncultured bacterium. RNAcentral's name for it is "partial 16S ribosomal RNA". It matches the Rfam family "Bacterial small subunit ribosomal RNA", at positions 102 to 334 of the family's 1533-position model. The record is from RNAcentral.
ACGGGUGGGUAACACGUAUCCAACCCGCCGAUAACUACGGGAUAGCCUUCGUAAGAAAGAAUUAAUAUCCGAUAGCAUAUCAAUACCCGCCAUGAGAUUGAUAUUAAAGAAUUUCGGUUAUCGAUGGGGAUGCGUUCCAUUAGUUUGUUGGCGGGGUAACGGCCCACCAAGACUACGAUGGAUAGGGGUUCUGAGAGGAAGGUCCCCCACAUUGGAACUGAGACACGGUCCAA